UCGAAACCUGCUCAGCAGAACGACCCGCGAACAUGUUCAAUCAACGAGGGGUCCAAGGUGGGUUUUCGCCCGCGUUGGCCCUUCAAAAGGCUUCUGCACGGGGACCGGGGUGCGUAGGCUCGCCCUAUCCCCCGGCUUCCCUUAGCAGCAGCCUCCUAACAAACCCCCGGCGCGGAAAGCGCCAAGGAACCGUAAACGAAAAGAUCGGCCGCCCGAAUUGCCCCGGAAACGGUGCGCAAAAGGGACGCGCCGUGAUUUGAGAAUCUAAACGACUCUCGGCAACGGAUAUCUCGGCUAUCGCAUCGAUGAAGAACGCAGCGAAAUGCGAUACUUGGUGUGAAUUGCAGGAUCCCGCGAACCAUCGAGUUUUUGAACGCAAGUUGCGCCCGAAGCCUUCAGGCCGAGGGCACGUCUGCCUGGGUGUCACUCAAACGUCGCCCACACCCCAUCCUCUCCGGAAGGUGUGCGAAUUGGGCGGAAGAUGGCCUCCCGUGUGCUCUCCGCACGCGGUUGGCCCAAAUGUCCGGUCCUCGGCAUCGUCGCCACGGCAAUCGGUGGUUGUACGACCCUCGCUAGACGCUGUGAGCGAUCCGCUGCCGGUGCGAACCACGAGGCCCCGAGGCGUUUCGGAAGACACGCUCGCAAUGCGACC
This 652-nucleotide ribosomal RNA is filed under the name Euphorbia abramsiana. RNAcentral's name for it is "eukaryotic LSU rRNA". The stretch from base 271 to 426 matches the Rfam family "5.8S ribosomal RNA". Lineage: Eukaryota; Viridiplantae; Streptophyta; Magnoliopsida; Malpighiales; Euphorbiaceae. The record is from RNAcentral.